RNAcentral lists this long non-coding RNA (791 nucleotides) under Brachypodium distachyon (stiff brome). RNAcentral's name for it is "long non-coding RNA (BDIS_LNC001820)". The record is from RNAcentral. Lineage: Eukaryota; Viridiplantae; Streptophyta; Magnoliopsida; Poales; Poaceae.
AUAGUAGCAUCAUCAAGAUAGUGUUCGAUGGAAAAGUGGUCGACAUGAAAGUUGUGUGCGUCUUCAAUACGAACAACUUUGAUUUUGGAGUCAUCUUAAUCGGAGGUCGUAUGCGGGCCCCACGGGCAGAAUACCGACCGGGACAGAAGAGUUCGUGUUGGAUUCAGACUCAGUUUAGGGUCGCGAAUUUUCCCUUAUAAAUAGAGGGCGUCCUAGUUAAGGUUUUAGCAAGGACGUGAGAGGACUCAGAGCUUUGGAUUUAGAUCAAUUCUUGGAGAGUUCUUGGAUGCAUGGUUGCAUCUUUUGUAAUCGAUCGACAUUGUUGCAAUAAAGAGAUUCGUUAGCGGUGUCAUCUAUGUGUAACAUCCCAAAAUUUCAAACCUUUACAUGUGCAUUGCAUCCAUGAGCAUCAUGCCACAAUUGCAUGUUUGAAUUCAAAUUUUGAAUCACAAAAGGCUUUAAGAGAUUUUGUUUACAUCCCUGUAACCUUUGGAUUUUCAAACCAAUAGGGUUGAUGUAUAAAAAGGGUUUAAUGCAUAUAUAAGCUAUCCCAUAAUUUUUGGUUAACUAAUUGGAGUUGAAAAAGUAUUUUAUCCUAAAGGCGUUUAUAGGGCAAAUGUAUUUUUGUAUAUUUUAUUUUGAGGGAAAACUACUCUCAAAAGUUGUAUCUUGAUAGAACAAGAUUUUACAAAUUUUCUGGAUUUUAUUUGGGCCAAUUUGGAGUUCAAAAUCAAAAGUUAUCAAAGGAUUGAAAAAAAAAAGAAAAGAAAAGAAGAAAACUGGACCGAACC